UGCUGAGCAUCGAAGCUAGGAUAAGCCA
RNAcentral lists this non-coding RNA (28 nucleotides) under Macaca fascicularis (crab-eating macaque). The record is from RNAcentral. RNAcentral also lists the same sequence under 1 other name. Lineage: Eukaryota; Metazoa; Chordata; Mammalia; Primates; Cercopithecidae.